RNAcentral lists this ribosomal RNA (1744 nucleotides) under Haplosporidium sp. MYE-2005. RNAcentral describes it as "SSU rRNA". It matches the Rfam family "Eukaryotic small subunit ribosomal RNA". The record is from RNAcentral. Lineage: Eukaryota; Endomyxa; Ascetosporea; Haplosporida; Haplosporidiidae.
AGUCAUAUGCUUAGCUCAAAGAUUAAGCCAUGCAUGUCCAAGUAUAAACACGUUUGUACUGUAAAACUGCAGAUGGCUCAUUACAACAGUUAUAGUUUAUUUGACAAUCGAGCAUUACACGGAUACCCGUAGUAACUCUAGGGCUAAUACGUGACAAAACCUCUCUCGAGGCGUGCAUAUUAGCUAAAAACCAAUUCUGGUUGAACCAUAAUAUUCUGUCGGAUCGCGUUGACUCUGUCAGCGACAUGUCAUUCAAAUUUCUGACCUAUCAGCUUUGACGGUAGACUAUUGGCCUACCGUGGCUUUGACGGGUACGGGGAAUCAGGGUUCGAUUCCGGAGAGGCAGCCUGAGAAACGGCUACCACAUCCACGGAAGGCAGCAGGUGCGCAAAUUACCCAAUCCUGACUCAGGGAAGUAGUGACAAGCAAUAACGAUUAUCAGCUUUCAGUUGAAAUUCGCAAUGAGAACAACGUAAAACCCUUAUCGAUCACCAAGUGGAGGGCAAGCCUGGUGCCAGCAGCCGCGGUAAUACCAGCUCCACUAGCGUAUACUAAAGUUGUUGCUGUUAAAACGCUCGUAGUUGGAUAUCAGUCGGGAAGGGCACGGCCCGGACGAGUUUCGUACGUGCGCCACGCGGUUCGCCGCAGCCCUCCGGACUUAAUUCAGAACUGCCUGUCUGCCCCUUACCCGGGUGGGCGCGCCCGUUCUGAUCUAUUACUUUGAGAAAAUUAAAGUGCUCAAAGCAGGCUUCCGCCUGAAUGCAUUAGCAUGGAAUAAUAAAACACGACUUUGGCAUCGCCUCCGGGCGAGUUUUGUUGGUUUUGAGCCGGAGUAAUGAUUGAUAGAAACAAUUGGGGGUGCUAGUAUCGCCAGGCCAGAGGUAAAAUUCUUUGAUUCUGGUGAGACUGCCUUAUGCGAAAGCAUUCAUCAAGCGUGUUUUCUUUAAUCAAGAACUAAAGCCGGGGGAUCGAAGACGAUCAGAUACCGUCGUAGUCCCAGCCAUAAACGAUGUCGACUAAGCAUUGGGCAAGAUUAACUUCCUCAGCGCUUUGUGAGAAAUCAAAGUUUUCGGACUCAGGGGGAAGUAUGCUCGCAAGAGUGAAAUUUAAAGGAAUUGACGGAAGGGCACCACCAGAUGUGGAGCCUGCGGCUCAAUUUGACUCAACACGGGAAAACUUACCAGGUCCAGACAUAGUAAGGAUUGACAGAUUGAAGUUCUUUCUUGAUUCUAUGAAUAGUGGUGCAUGGCCGUUCUUAGUUGGUGGAGCGAUUUGUCUGGUUAAUUCCGAUAACGAACGAGACCUCAGCCAUCUAACUAGCUGUCGCUAGUUCUCUAGCGUUUGCUCGCGCAAGAUCAGCUUCUUAGAGGGACAAUCUGCGUCUAGCAGAUGGAAGAUUGAGGCUAUAACAGGUCAGUGAUGCCCUUAGAAGGUCUGGGCUGCACGCGCGCUACAAUGACUCAGACAACGGGUCCAGCCGAACCUGAAAAGGCGAGGUAAUCCCCAAACUGGGUCCAAGUUGGGAUAGAUGAUUGUAAUUGUUCAUCUUGAACAAGGAAUAUCUAGUAAACGCAAGUCAUCAACUUGCAUUGAUUACGUCCCUGCCCUUUGUACACACCGCCCGUCGCUCCUACCGAUUGAAUAAUCAGAUGAACUGAGUGGAUGAGGCGUAGCCUCGGCAAACUCUUCAAAAGCUCCGUGAAUCUUAUUAUUUAGAGGAAGGACAAGUCGUAACAAGGUUUCC